Molecule: long non-coding RNA, 212 nt
Filed under: Mytilus galloprovincialis (Mediterranean mussel)
Lineage: Eukaryota; Metazoa; Mollusca; Bivalvia; Mytilida; Mytilidae
Source: RNAcentral
AACCGAUUCGCUCACAAUAAACCAGUCCAUCUAUAGAUAGGUGUUUUAGGAUAAACUCAUCAAUGAAGUGUCCAGUCAUUGUUUUUUAAAUUCCUUUGAUGACACUUAUAGGUGAUUAGAAAUCAGUAAUAAUUAUAACGGCUAUCAUCCUUAUCACACACAUCUUCAAAUGGGCUGUCCUUAUGCAAAUUAAAACGUAAGCUCCGCCCGAU